This is a small nuclear RNA of Vigna unguiculata (cowpea), 159 nucleotides long. RefSeq annotates it as U1 spliceosomal RNA. The record is from RefSeq and is a predicted model, not a curated record. Lineage: Eukaryota; Viridiplantae; Streptophyta; Magnoliopsida; Fabales; Fabaceae.
AUACUUACCUGAACAGGAUCACUAGAUGAUCAAGAAGGCUUAUGGUUUAGGACAGUGACUUUCAUUGCACUUGAGGAGGUGCUGUUCUGAGGUCUGCCCAAGUGGCAGAGCCUACGUCAUAAUUUGUGGCAGAGGAAGCUGCGUUUGCGCGGCCCUUGC